Molecule: ribosomal RNA, 369 nt
Filed under: uncultured alga
Lineage: Eukaryota
Description: bacterial LSU rRNA
Rfam family: Bacterial large subunit ribosomal RNA
Source: RNAcentral
GCUUGACUGUAUCUUGGAAUUGGGUUCGGGCUUUUCUUGCGCAGACUAGGUGGGAGGCUAUGAAGAUUUUCUUCUGGGAAAGUUGGAGCCAACAGUGAGAGACCACUCUGGAAAGGCUAGAAUCCUAAUGGUGAUCCUUGAAUCAGGACACUUGACAGUUUCAGGUGGGCAGUUUUUCUGGGCGGAAGCCUCAUAAAAGGUCAACUGAGGCGCGCAAAGGUCCCCUCAGUCUGGACGGAAAUCAGACAUUGAGUGUAAAGGCAAAAGGGGGCUUGACUGCAAGACCCACAAGUCGAGCAGGGGCGAAAGCUGGCCUUAGUGAUCCGACGGUGCCGUGUGGAAGGGCCGUCGCUCAACGAAUAAAAGUUA